RNAcentral lists this ribosomal RNA (513 nucleotides) under uncultured bacterium. RNAcentral's name for it is "partial 16S ribosomal RNA". It matches the Rfam family "Bacterial small subunit ribosomal RNA", at positions 28 to 507 of the family's 1533-position model. The record is from RNAcentral.
GACGAGCGCUGGCGGCGUGCUUAACACAUGCAAGUCGAACGAAAAGAGGGAAAGAGCUUGCUCUUUCCGGAAUUGAGUGGCAAACGGGUGAGUAACACGUAAACAACCUGCCUUCAGGAUGGGGACAACAGACGGAAGCGACUGCUAAUACCGAAUAAGUUCCAAGGGCCGCAUGGCCCAUGGAAGAAAAGGUGGCCUCUACCUGUAAGCUAUCGCCUGAAGAGGGGUUUGCGUCUGAUUAGCUGGUUGGAGGGGUAACGGCCCACCAAGGCGACGAUCAGUAGCCGGUCUGAGAGGAUGAACGGCCACACUGGAACUGAGACACGGUCCAGACUCCUACGGGAGGCAGCAGUGGGGAAUCUUCCGCAAUGGGCGAAAGCCUGACGGAGCAACGCCGCGUGAGUGAUGACGGCCUUCGGGUUGUAAAACUCUGUGAUCCGGGACGAAAAGGCAGAGUGCGAAGAACAAACUGCAUUGACGGUACCGGAAAAGCAAGCCACGGCUAACUACGUG